Molecule: ribosomal RNA, 650 nt
Filed under: uncultured bacterium
Lineage: Bacteria
Description: bacterial SSU rRNA
Rfam family: Bacterial small subunit ribosomal RNA
Source: RNAcentral
CGGAUGCUGACGAGUGGCGAACGGGUGAGUAAUACAUCGGAACGUGCCCGAGAGUGGGGGAUAACGAAGCGAAAGCUUUGCUAAUACCGCAUACGAUCUCAGGAUGAAAGCAGGGGACCGCAAGGCCUUGCGCUCACGGAGCGGCCGAUGGCAGAUUAGGUAGUUGGUGGGAUAAAAGCUUACCAAGCCGACGAUCUGUAGCUGGUCUGAGAGGACGACCAGCCACACUGGGACUGAGACACGGCCCAGACUCCUACGGGAGGCAGCAGUGGGGAAUUUUGGACAAUGGGCGCAAGCCUGAUCCAGCCAUGCCGCGUGCAGGAUGAAGGCCUUCGGGUUGUAAACUGCUUUUGUACGGAACGAAAAGACUCUGGUUAAUACCUGGGGUCCAUGACGGUACCGUAAGAAUAAGCACCGGCUAACUACGUGCCAGCAGCCGCGGUAAUACGUAGGGUGCGAGCGUUAAUCGGAAUUACUGGGCGUAAAGCGUGCGCAGGCGGUUAUGUAAGACAGAUGUGAAAUCCCCGGGCUCAACCUGGGAACUGCAUUUGUGACUGCAUAGCUAGAGUACGGCAGAGGGGGAUGGAAUUCCGCGUGUAGCAGUGAAAUGCGUAGAUAUGCGGAGGAACACCGAUGGCGAAGGCAAUCCC